RNAcentral lists this ribosomal RNA (433 nucleotides) under uncultured bacterium. Its description in RNAcentral is "partial 16S ribosomal RNA". It matches the Rfam family "Bacterial small subunit ribosomal RNA", at positions 29 to 507 of the family's 1533-position model. The record is from RNAcentral.
AACGAACGCUGGCGGCAUGCCUAACACAUGCAAGUCGAACGAGACCUUCGGGUCUAGUGGCGCACGGGUGCGUAACGCGUGGGAACCUGCCCUUAGGUUCGGAAUAACUCCCCGAAAGGGGUCCUAAUACCGGAUAGUGUCUUCGGACCAAAGAUCUAUCGCCUUUGGAUGGGCCCGCGUUGGAUUAGCUAGUUGGUAGGGUAAAAGCCUACCAAGGCGACGAUCCAUAGCUGGUCUGAGAGGAUGAUCAGCCACACUGGGACUGAGACACGGCCCAGACUCCUACGGGAGGGAGGAGAGGGGAAUAUUGGACAAUGGGCGAAAGCCUGAUCCAGCAAUGCCGCGUGAGUGAUGAAGGCCGUAGGGUUGUAAAGCUCUUUUACCCGGGAUGAUAAUGACAGUACCGGGAGAAUAAGCUCCGGCUAACUACGUG